CCAAAAUAGCCUUAGAAUAACAGAGGUGAAGAAGAGGGGUAUUUUCAUAAUUGCAGCUUAUAGGGAUGAUCAGGAAAAGUCAGAGAUCGGCCGUUCCUACUACAGUUGUUUAUGUUUUUGUAUUGCACAAUUCUACAUGAAGAUAGUGUUGGAUUUUUAUAUAUUUGUGUCGGAUAUGGCAAGAAAUGAUUCCUUUUGGCGACCAAAGAAGAAUCAUGGUAAAAAAUAAACGCCAUGUUGUAAACAACGUUCAAAAUAUAGUCAGCUUAGAAACAAGUUAUAUGAUUGGAUGGAUCCCGUUUCCACUCAGGAUAAUAUUAUCAGUGAUUGGUCCACAAGUAAGGGCAAGCACCAAUUUACAAGGUGGGGCUAAAAACAGACCAUUCACAAUAAUAAAGAAAUUAAAC
Long non-coding RNA from Patella vulgata (common limpet), 407 nucleotides. RefSeq lists it as uncharacterized. Lineage: Eukaryota; Metazoa; Mollusca; Gastropoda; Patellidae. The record is from RefSeq and is a predicted model, not a curated record. The transcript has 3 exons.